Molecule: ribosomal RNA, 422 nt
Filed under: uncultured bacterium
Lineage: Bacteria
Description: bacterial SSU rRNA
Rfam family: Bacterial small subunit ribosomal RNA
Source: RNAcentral
GGAAUUUUCCGCAAUGGGCGAAAGCCUGAUGGAGCAACGCCGCGUGAGCGAAGAAGGUCUUCGGAUCGUAAAGCUCUGUUGUAAGGGAAGAACAAGUGCGGUAGUAACUGACCGCACCCUGACGGUACCUUACGAGAAAGCCACGGCUAACUACGUGCCAGCAGCCGCGGUAAUACGUAGGUGGCGAGCGUUGUCCGGAAUUAUUGGGCGUAAAGCGCGCGCAGGCGGUCUCUUAAGUCUGAUGUGAAAGCCCCCGGCUCAACCGGGGAGGGUCAUUGGAAACUGGGAGACUUGAGUGCAGGAGAGGGAAGCGGAAUUCCAUGUGUAGCGGUGAAAUGCGUAGAGAUAUGGAGGAACACCAGUGGCGAAGGCGGCUUCCUGGCCUGUAACUGACGCUGAGGCGCGAAAGCGUGGGGAGCAAA